CUUAGUCCGAGACGGGCUGAAGCACCCUUCUCUGGAGGCGUUUUUCCGUUAAGGGAUCGAACUUGGGACCUUGCGCUUUCCAGGCAGGCGUCAGAACCACUGAGGUAAAUCCCGUACCCCAAACACCAUUUCUUGAGUCAUUCCCCAUUUCCUCCUUCCUACCCUUAUUCCUACAUUUGAGGGUAACCACUUGUUAGAGAGAUUGAAUGAGAGCAUGAUGAUGAUGAUUAACUUUGGUCCUUUUACUGUCAGUAGGUUUGGGGAAAGCUGCUGCCACUGAGGCAAUUGAAAAGAAGUUAAGUAUGGGCAAUCCUACAGGGAGGUUAAAAUGUCUAAGGAAGGAGAACCUAUUGGUGAAGGCGUAAUUGCGUCCCUUUCAGAUACAGAAAUUGGGAUGUGCUUUAUCUCCUAGGGCACAGGGAUACAUUUGGUCAUCUUUUGUGCUCUUAAUUUGCCUCAUCUACUGAUCUGUCUAGUUGAAGUUCUGCAGCAGAAGUGAAUUCUGGAGAGAUGUUAGAGAAUAAUAACUUCAGGAUAAAAGGAGUUUUUGUUGUUGUUGUUGUUUUGGAGGUGCUGGGGAUUAAAUAUAAGGGUCUCAAGCAUGCCAGGGAAGUGUUCUGUCCCAGAUCUAUAUCCUGAGUCCUUAAAAGUAGUCCUUAAAAUAUUCUCCAACCUGGCCCCCAAGGAAAGAAACCACAGGCAUUGAUAUAUUCAAGACAAGGUUCAUUUCAGGAAUGUAGCAUUGGCUCACAAAUACUCCUCUGAAUUAAUGUGCUCCUGCCUUAACCUUCUUGAUGAGGUAGGAGGAGAUGAGAAAGGAUCUGGCUGGAGGGAAUGUGAGGAAUUGGGAAGGGUGUGGGAGAAAGACUGGGGAGAGCUGUGCUUGGGUGUUAGGUAAGUAUAGGGUAAGCAGAUUCAGAAGCAGCAAAGUGGGUCUCUGUGAGAAAUUGCAGACAUUUCACCUGCCUUUUGUUGUAUUGUUCAUGCAUGUUUUAAAAAUCAGUUGUAUUGAGUUGAACCUGUCCAAAUUAGGCCUCAACUGCACUUCUCAUCUACCCUCCAAUUAUAUAAAGAUGUCAGGUUGGUUUCAAAUACUGAAUUAUAGGAAAAAUGUUAUGUGUAUUGCAGGCAACUGGAUUUAUACCACUUCUUUUUUUUUUUCAUAGUAACUUAAAAAUGAAGCUAUUAGCUCAGUGGUUCUGCUGCCUGCCUUGCAAGCACAAGGUCCCGAGUUUG
RNAcentral lists this long non-coding RNA (1236 nucleotides) under Heterocephalus glaber (naked mole-rat). RNAcentral describes it as "lncRNA (ENSHGLG00100051573.1)". The record is from RNAcentral. Lineage: Eukaryota; Metazoa; Chordata; Mammalia; Rodentia; Bathyergidae.